GAUGAACGCUGGCGGCGUGCCUAACACAUGCAAGUCGAACGAAGCACCUUACCUGAUUCUUCGGAUGAAAGUUUGGUGACUGAGUGGCGGACGGGUGAGUAACGCGUGGGUAACCUGCCCUGUACAGGGGGAUAACAGCUGGAAACGGCUGCUAGUACCUCAUAAGCGCACGAGGAUACAUCUCCUUGUGUGAAAAACUCCGGUGGUACAGGAUGGGCCCGCGUCUGAUUAGCUGGUUGGCAGGGUAACGGCCUACCAAGGCAACGAUCAGUAGCCGGUCUGAGAGGAUGACCGGCCACAUUGGAACUGAGACACGGUCCAAAAUCCUACGGGAGGCAGCAGUGGGGAAUAUUGCACAAUGGGGGAAACCCUGAUGCAGCAACGCCGCGUGAGUGAAGAAGUAUUUCGGUAUGUAAAGCUCUAUCAGCAGGGAAGAUAAUGACGGUACCUGACUAAGAAGCGCCGGCUAAAUACGUG
This 477-nucleotide ribosomal RNA is filed under the name uncultured bacterium. RNAcentral describes it as "partial 16S ribosomal RNA". It matches the Rfam family "Bacterial small subunit ribosomal RNA", at positions 28 to 507 of the family's 1533-position model. The record is from RNAcentral.